RNAcentral lists this ribosomal RNA (1077 nucleotides) under Klebsiella pneumoniae. RNAcentral describes it as "bacterial SSU rRNA". It matches the Rfam family "Bacterial small subunit ribosomal RNA", at positions 51 to 1119 of the family's 1533-position model. The record is from RNAcentral. Lineage: Bacteria; Pseudomonadati; Pseudomonadota; Gammaproteobacteria; Enterobacterales; Enterobacteriaceae.
ACACAUGCAAGUCGAGCGGUAGCACAGAGAGCUUGCUCUCGGGUGACGAGCGGCGGACGGGUGAGUAAUGUCUGGGAAACUGCCUGAUGGAGGGGGAUAACUACUGGAAACGGUAGCUAAUACCGCAUAAUGUCGCAAGACCAAAGUGGGGGACCUUCGGGCCUCAUGCCAUCAGAUGUGCCCAGAUGGGAUUAGCUAGUAGGUGGGGUAACGGCUCACCUAGGCGACGAUCCCUAGCUGGUCUGAGAGGAUGACCAGCCACACUGGAACUGAGACACGGUCCAGACUCCUACGGGAGGCAGCAGUGGGGAAUAUUGCACAAUGGGCGCAAGCCUGAUGCAGCCAUGCCGCGUGUGUGAAGAAGGCCUUCGGGUUGUAAAGCACUUUCAGCGGGGAGGAAGGCGUUAAGGUUAAUAACCUUGACGAUUGACGUUACCCGCAGAAGAAGCACCGGCUAACUCCGUGCCAGCAGCCGCGGUAAUACGGAGGGUGCAAGCGUUAAUCGGAAUUACUGGGCGUAAAGCGCACGCAGGCGGUCUGUCAAGUCGGAUGUGAAAUCCCCGGGCUCAACCUGGGAACUGCAUUCGAAACUGGCAGGCUAGAGUCUUGUAGAGGGGGGUAGAAUUCCAGGUGUAGCGGUGAAAUGCGUAGAGAUCUGGAGGAAUACCGGUGGCGAAGGCGGCCCCCUGGACAAAGACUGACGCUCAGGUGCGAAAGCGUGGGGAGCAAACAGGAUUAGAUACCCUGGUAGUCCACGCCGUAAACGAUGUCGAUUUGGAGGUUGUGCCCUUGAGGCGUGGCUUCCGGAGCUAACGCGUUAAAUCGACCGCCUGGGGAGUACGGCCGCAAGGUUAAAACUCAAAUGAAUUGACGGGGGCCCGCACAAGCGGUGGAGCAUGUGGUUUAAUUCGAUGCAACGCGAAGAACCUUACCUGGUCUUGACAUCCACAGAACUUUCCAGAGAUGGAUUGGUGCCUUCGGGAACUGUGAGACAGGUGCUGCAUGGCUGUCCUCAGCUCGUGUUGUGAAAUGUUGGGUUAAGUCCCGCAACGAGCGCAACCCUUAUCCUUUGUUGCC